GUUUGAUCCUGGCUCAGAUUGAACGCUGGCGGCAUGCCUUACACAUGCAAGUCGAACGGUAACAGGUUAAGCUGACGAGUGGCGAACGGGUGAGUAAUGUAUCGGAACGUGCCCAGUCGUGGGGGAUAACUGCUCGAAAGAGCAGCUAAUACCGCAUACGACCUGAGGGUGAAAGCGGGGGAUCGCAAGACCUCGCGCGAUUGGAGCGGCCGAUAUCAGAUUAGGUAGUUGGUGAGGUAAAGGCUCACCAAGCCGACGAUCUGUAGCUGGUCUGAGAGGACGACCAGCCACACUGGGACUGAGACACGGCCCAGACUCCUACGGGAGGCAGCAGUGGGGAAUUUUGGACAAUGGGCGCAAGCCUGAUCCAGCCAUGCCGCGUGCGGGAAGAAGGCCUUCGGGUUGUAAACCGCUUUUGUCAGGGAAGAAAAGGUUCUGGCUAAUACCUGGGACUCAUGACGGUACCUGAAGAAUAAGCACCGGCUAACUACGUGCCAGCAGCCGCGGUAAUACGUAGGGUGCAAGCGUUAAUCGGAAUUACUGGGCGUAAAGCGUGCGCAGGCGGUUAUGCAAGACAGAGGUGAAAUCCCCGGGCUCAACCUGGGAACUGCCUUUGUGACUGCAUGGCUAGAGUACGGUAGAGGGGGAUGGAAUUCCGCGUGUAGCAGUGAAAUGCGUAGAUAUGCGGAGGAACACCGAUGGCGAAGGCAAUCCCCUGGACCUGUACUGACGCUCAUGCACGAAAGCGUGGGGAGCAAACAGGAUUAGAUACCCUGGUAGUCCACGCCCUAAACGAUGUCAACUGGUUGUUGGGAGGGUUUCUUCUCAGUAACGUAGCUAACGCGUGAAGUUGACCGCCUGGGGAGUACGGCCGCAAGGUUGAACUCAAAGGAAUUGACGGGGACCCGCACAAGCGGUGGAUGAUGUGGUUUAAUUCGAUGCAACGCGAAAACCUUACCUACCCUUGACAUGUCUGGAUCCUGAGAGAUUCGGGAGUGCUCGAAAGAGAGCCAGACACAGGUGCUGCAUGGCGUCGUCAGCUCGUGUCGUGAGAUGUUGGGUUAAGUCCCGCACGAGCGCACCCUUGUCAUAGUGCUACGAAAGGGCACCUCUAAUGAAACUGCCGGUGACAACCCGGAGG
RNAcentral lists this ribosomal RNA (1141 nucleotides) under uncultured bacterium. RNAcentral's name for it is "bacterial SSU rRNA". It matches the Rfam family "Bacterial small subunit ribosomal RNA", at positions 11 to 1169 of the family's 1533-position model. The record is from RNAcentral.